AAAUAAUUAGGACUCGAACUUAAUCUUUCAUAAUUUUUUGAAUCAUAGAUUUGAUCAAAUUCAUCCUUAGAAUUAAACCUAUGCCUCAUUUGCCGUGCUAGUUGGAUAAAGUCAAUAUUUAAUUUCAUAUGACAUAUAACUUAAUUCUUAAUUAAGUUAAUCUAUAUAUUCAAUCAAGUCUUAUACUUUUAAAUUGAAUACAUAAAUAUUCGAUCAAUUUUUUUCUACAUUGUU
This 234-nucleotide long non-coding RNA is filed under the name Elaeis guineensis (African oil palm). RNAcentral describes it as "long non-coding RNA (EGUI_LNC017286)". Lineage: Eukaryota; Viridiplantae; Streptophyta; Magnoliopsida; Arecales; Arecaceae. The record is from RNAcentral.